RNAcentral lists this long non-coding RNA (600 nucleotides) under Helianthus annuus (common sunflower). The record is from RNAcentral. Lineage: Eukaryota; Viridiplantae; Streptophyta; Magnoliopsida; Asterales; Asteraceae.
ACCAAAUAAUAAACCUCUAUAAUACACAUAUACACCCUACUUACGAGACCCUCUUUUCUUUUAAUUCUCAAACCUAUUCUUCUUAUCUCAUCCCAACCGCCCAGACUUACCAUUCCCAUGUUCCUUUCAAACUCUCUUCAUCCAAAACCAUCCACUAAGAAUAUUGAUAUUACAGGCAAAGUUUUGUGGUGGUUUUCAAAGGUUUCUAUGGCGGUUUGACAAAGGAAGAGUUGCGAUAGUUCCAGUAGUGAUUAAUAAUGGUGGCAUGGUGUGCCAGUGGCCGGUGGUAAGGCUGCGGUUCCCCCUCGAUUGGGCACCACACCGCUCUAAAUGAGAUGUGCACCUGCCGCCGGUAUUCUCAAUAGAUGACAUGUGGAGAUCGGCUAGGGAGAGGCGGGUUGGCUCACCGAUGUUGUGAACUCAUGCCGGCUAUUCUUUUCAGGUUGAAAUGACGGUGGUGGCGAUAGGGUAGUGCGACGGUGGUCGCAGCUCCGCCAUCGCACUGCCGUGAUAGCAUAGCAUUAUGGACAAUUAGUUUCAAAGUUUCAUGUUCUUACAAGGAAAAAACAUAAUAUGAAAUACAUAUUCAUACCACUUUAU